CGCAUGGGGAACCGUAUCUGAUGGGGAAACGCGGAUUGACAGAACACCGGUAUGUAUAAUCACUGCGUUGAUACCCGACUGUAUAAUGACUCCACAGAAUGAGUCACAUUUGUGUCAAUCAGACUCUGCAGGAACGUUCUGAUGUCCGUGAUGAGGACAGAGAUGCAACUGUGUCUGCUUCCAGGACCUACUGCCAGUCAUCCAGAUGUAGCUAAAGAAAGGAGCAGGUGAGAUUUAU
Poecilia reticulata (guppy) is the source of this 238-nucleotide non-coding RNA. NCBI's taxonomy places the organism in Eukaryota, Metazoa, Chordata, Actinopteri, Cyprinodontiformes, Poeciliidae. The record is from RefSeq and is a predicted model, not a curated record.